GUGAAAUUGUUGAAAGGGAAACGCUUGAAGUCAGUCGUGCCGGCGGGGGAUUCAGCGAACUUCGCGGAGUGAGCGUAUUUCCUCGCAUGGCAGGUCAGCGUCAGUUUUGCGCGUCGUGAAAGGGCUCGGGUAAGGUGACUCUCUUCGGGGAGUGUUAUAGGCCUGAGCAGAUGCGAUGCGCGGGGGACUGAGGAUUGCAGCGAACACCCGUUCGGGGCGCGGCGUCGGGGUUUCUGUUCUGUCACCUGUGUCCGAUAGCGUGCUAACGGAUGUGGGAGCGGCGGUUCACCAAACUGGAGCGCCAGCGGUUCGCUUAGGACGCUGACGUAAUGGCUUUAAACGAC
RNAcentral lists this ribosomal RNA (344 nucleotides) under uncultured Paraglomeraceae. RNAcentral describes it as "eukaryotic LSU rRNA". Lineage: Eukaryota; Fungi; Glomeromycota; Glomeromycetes; Paraglomerales. The record is from RNAcentral.